CCUACGGGCGGCAGCAGUGAGGAAUAUUGGUCAAUGGACGAGAGUCUGAACCAGCCAAGUAGCGUGAAGGAUGACUGCCCUAUGGGUUGUAAACUUCUUUUAUAUGGGAAUAAAAUGUUCCACGUGUGGGAUUUUGUAUGUACCUUAUGAAUAAGGAUCGGCUAACUCCGUGCCAGCAGCCGCGGUAAUACGGAGGAUCCGAGCGUUAUCCGGAUUUAUUGGGUUUAAAGGGAGCGUAGGUGGAUUGUUAAGUCAGUUGUGAAAGUUUGCGGCUCAACAGUAAAAUUGCAGUUGAUACUGGCAGUCUUGAGUACAGUAGAGGUAGGCGGAAUUCGUGGUGUAGCGGUGAAAUGCUUAGAUAUCACGAAGAACUCCGAUUGCGAAGGCAGUUCACUGGACUGCAACUGACACUGAGGCUCGAAAGUGUGGGUAUCAAACAGGAUUAGAUACCCGUGUAGUC
RNAcentral lists this ribosomal RNA (460 nucleotides) under uncultured bacterium. RNAcentral's name for it is "partial 16S ribosomal RNA". It matches the Rfam family "Bacterial small subunit ribosomal RNA", at positions 338 to 795 of the family's 1533-position model. The record is from RNAcentral.